Molecule: ribosomal RNA, 492 nt
Filed under: uncultured bacterium
Lineage: Bacteria
Description: partial 16S ribosomal RNA
Rfam family: Bacterial small subunit ribosomal RNA
Source: RNAcentral
AGUGAACGCUGGCGGUAGGCCUAACACAUGCAAGUCGAACGGCAGCACAGUAAGAGCUUGCUCUUACGGGUGGCGAGUGGCGGACGGGUGAGGAAUACAUCGGAAUCUACUUUUUCGUGGGGGAUAACGUAGGGAAACUUACGCUAAUACCUCAUACGACCUACGGGUGAAAGCAGGGGAUCUUCGGACCUUGCGCGAUUGAAUGAGCCGAUGUCGGAUUAGCUAGUUGGCGGGGUAAAGGCCCACCAAGGCGACGAUCCGUAGCUGGUCUGAGAGGAUGAACAGACACACGGGAACUGAGACACGGUCCAGACUCCUACGGGAGGCAGCAGUGGGGAAUAUUGGACAAUGGGCGCAAGCCUGAUCCAGCCAUACCGCGUGGGUGAAGAAGGCCUUCGGGUUGUAAAGCCCUUUUGUUGGGAAAGAAAAGCAGCAGGUUAAUACCCCGCUGUUCUGACGGUACCCAAAGAAUAAGCACCGGCUAACUUCGUG